RNAcentral lists this ribosomal RNA (493 nucleotides) under uncultured bacterium. Its description in RNAcentral is "partial 16S ribosomal RNA". It matches the Rfam family "Bacterial small subunit ribosomal RNA", at positions 29 to 507 of the family's 1533-position model. The record is from RNAcentral.
AGUGAACGCUGGCGGUAGGCCUAACACAUGCAAGUCGAACGGCAGCACAGUAAGAGCUUGCUCUUACGGGUGGCGAGUGGCGGACGGGUGAGGAAUACAUCGGAAUCUACUUUUUCGUGGGGGAUAACGUAGGGAAACUUACGCUAAUACCGCAUACGACCUACGGGUGAAAGCAGGGGAUCUUCGGACCUUGCGCGAUUGAAUGAGCCGAUGUCGGAUUAGCUAGUUGGCGGGGUAAAGGCCCACCAAGGCGACGUUGCGUAGCUGGUCUGAGAGGAUGGUCAGCCACCCUGGGAGGGGGACCCGGUCCAGACUCCUUCGGGAAGGGGCAGUGGGGAAUAUUGGGCCAUGGGCGCAAACCUGUGCCCGACAUACCGCGGGGGUAAAGAAGGCCUUCGGGUUGUGAAGGCCUUUUUUUGGGGAAAGAACAGCUGCAGGUUGAUACCCCGCUGUUCUGACGGUACCCAAUGAAUAAGCACCGGCUAACUUCGUG